GAUGAACGCUGGCGGCGUGCCUAAUACAUGCAAGUCGAGCGAACGGACGAUGAGCUUGCGUCUCUGUUGUUAGCGGCGGACGGGUGUGUAACACGUGGAUAACCUACCUAUAAGACUGGGAUAACUUCGGGAAACCGGCGCUAAUACCGGAUGAUAUUUUGAACCGCAUGGUUCAAAAGUGAAAGACGGUCUUGCUGUCACUUAUAGAUGGAUACCGGCUGCAUUAGCUAGUUGGUAAGGUAACGGCUUACCAAGGCAACGAUGCAUAACCGACCUAAGAGGGGGAUCGGCCACCCGGGAAGUGAGACACGGUCCAUAGUCCUACGGUAGGCAGCAGUAGGGUAUCGUCGGCAAUGGGCGAAAGCAUGACAGAGCAAGGGGGAGUGAGUGACGGAGGUGUUGGGAGCGGAAAACUCUGUUAUGGGGUAAGAACAGAUGUGUAAGUAGCUGUGCACAGCGUGACGGUACCUAAUCAGGAAGCAACGGCUAACUACGUG
Molecule: ribosomal RNA, 497 nt
Filed under: uncultured bacterium
Lineage: Bacteria
Description: partial 16S ribosomal RNA
Rfam family: Bacterial small subunit ribosomal RNA
Source: RNAcentral